Molecule: long non-coding RNA, 205 nt
Filed under: Ananas comosus (pineapple)
Lineage: Eukaryota; Viridiplantae; Streptophyta; Magnoliopsida; Poales; Bromeliaceae
Description: long non-coding RNA (ACOM_LNC005860)
Source: RNAcentral
UGUACCUUGAAACGCCGCAAAAUCUAUUGUUUUUUUUAUUCAGUUUCUAUAUUUUGUUAAAAAUUUGAUCAAAUCCGGUCAAUUAAUUAAUUAUUUUAAUUUAAUGUACUAAAAAAUAAUUAAAAUUAAUAAAUUUGUAUUGAUAAAUUUGGUAAAUUUUUUAAUUUUUUACUAAAAUUAGUUAAUUUUAAAAACUUUUUAGAAU